UUGACCGUACUAAGGUAGCAUAAUAAUUUGCCUUUUAAUUGGAGGCUAGUAUGAAUGGCUUGACGUGAAAUAUACUGUCUCAACUAUAUUUAGUAGAAUUUAACUUUUAGGUGAAGAGGCCUAAAUUUUGUGGGAAGACAAGAAGACCCUAUUGAGCUUUAAAUAUUUAUGUUAGUGGGAACCUAAGAUUUAUAUGAUGGUCAUUACUUCUAAGUAUGUUGGUUGGGGCGACCGAGGAGUAUAAAGUAACCUCCUUGUAAUGUAAAGAAUUUGUUAUCAACGAACCUGUAAUAUAGGUUAUUCGGUAGUUACCAUAGGGAUAACAGCGUAAUUCUUUUGAAGAGUUCAUAUCGAAGAAAGAGAUUGCGACCUCGAUGUUGGAUUAAGGUGUCCUAAGGG
RNAcentral lists this ribosomal RNA (399 nucleotides) under Nautilus pompilius. RNAcentral's name for it is "partial 16S ribosomal RNA". It matches the Rfam family "Bacterial large subunit ribosomal RNA", at positions 1942 to 2553 of the family's 2925-position model. The record is from RNAcentral. Lineage: Eukaryota; Metazoa; Mollusca; Cephalopoda; Nautilida; Nautilidae.